ACCAGCAGCCAUCUCACCCUGCAACUCACAACUGGCAACCCACUAAAGCUAAGCAGGUGUGAGCCUGGUCAGUACCUGGAUGGGAGACCUCCUGGAUAAAACUAAGGUUGCUAUUGGAA
Molecule: non-coding RNA, 119 nt
Organism: Lepisosteus oculatus (spotted gar)
Lineage: Eukaryota; Metazoa; Chordata; Actinopteri; Semionotiformes; Lepisosteidae
Source: Rfam